RNAcentral lists this ribosomal RNA (468 nucleotides) under uncultured bacterium. Its description in RNAcentral is "partial 16S ribosomal RNA". It matches the Rfam family "Bacterial small subunit ribosomal RNA", at positions 28 to 507 of the family's 1533-position model. The record is from RNAcentral.
GACGAACGCUGGCGGCGUGCUUAACACAUGCAAGUCGAACGGAAAGGCCCUGCUUUUGUGGGGUGCUUGAGUGGCGAACGGGUGAGUAACACGUGAGUAACCUGCCCUUGACUUUGGGAUAGCUUCAGGAAACUGGGGCUAAUACCGGAUAGGAGCUCCUGCUGCAUGGUGGGGGUUGGAAAGUUUCGGCGGUUGGGGAUGGACUCGCGGCUUAUCAGCUUGUUGGUGGGGUAGUGGCUUACCAAGGCUUUGACGGGUAGCCGGCCUGAGAGGGUGACCGGCCACAUUGGGACUGAGAUACGGCCUAGACUCCUACGGGAGGCAGCAGUGGGGAAUAUUGCACAAUGGGCGGAAGCCUGAUGCAGCAACGCCGCGUGCGGGAUGACGGCCUUCGGGUUGUAAACCGCUUUCGCCUGUGACGAAGCGUGAGUGACGGUAAUGGGUAAAGAAGCACCGGCUAACUACGUG